AGUGGGAUAGCUGGGUCAAAUGAUGGUUCCAUUCCAAAUUUUAAAAGGAAUCUCCAUACUUCUUUCCAAAUUGGCUACACCAAUUUGCAGUCCCUCCAACUAU
RNAcentral lists this microRNA precursor (103 nucleotides) under Marmota monax (woodchuck). The record is from RNAcentral. Lineage: Eukaryota; Metazoa; Chordata; Mammalia; Rodentia; Sciuridae.